Molecule: unclassified non-coding RNA, 378 nt
Filed under: soil metagenome
Description: partial contains 5.8S ribosomal RNA, internal transcribed spacer 2, and large subunit ribosomal RNA
Rfam family: 5.8S ribosomal RNA (bases 2-121)
Source: RNAcentral
GGAUGAAGAACGUAGCGAAAUGCGAUAAGUAAUGUGAAUUGCAGAAUUCAGUGAAUCAUCGAAUCUUUGAACGCAUCUUGCGCUCCUUGGUAUUCUGAGGAGCAUGCCUGUUUGAGUGUCAUUAAAUUCUCAACCGCACUGACUUUGAAUUGGUGUGGCUUGGAUUUGGGGGGAAAAUUGUUGUGGGCUUUUUUGUAUAGUCUGCUCCCCUGAAAUUGAUUAGCGGUACCUUUGUGGAACUGUCUACAGGUGUGAUAAUUAUCUACAUCCUAGACAUCUGCUGGAAUGCUGCUUUCUAAACCUUACUUGUAUUGACAAUCUUGACCUCAAAUCAGGUAGGACUACCCGCUGAACUUAAGCAUAUCAAUAAGCGGAGGA